RNAcentral lists this ribosomal RNA (719 nucleotides) under uncultured archaeon. RNAcentral's name for it is "bacterial SSU rRNA". It matches the Rfam family "Archaeal small subunit ribosomal RNA", at positions 142 to 845 of the family's 1478-position model. The record is from RNAcentral.
GGGACCAAUCCGUGAUAGGUCACUUCAUCUGGAAGGAGAGGUGGCCGAAAAGGGAAUUGUGGGCUUCCACUUUUCUCGCUUCAGGAUGGGACUGCGGCCGAUCAGGCUGUUGGCGGGGUAAUGGCCCACCAAACCUGUAACCGGUACGGGCCUUGAGAGAGGUGGCCCGGAGAUGGACACUGAGACAAGGGUCCAGGUCCUACGGGGCGCAGCAGGCGCGAAACCUUCGCAAUGCGCGAAAGCGUGACGAGGUUAAUCCGAGUGGCUUCCGCUUAGGAAGUCUUUUGCCGACUCUAAAAAGGUCGGAGAAUAAGGGGAGGGCAAGUCUGGUGUCAGCCGCCGCGGUAAUACCAGCUCCUCGAGUGGUCGGGGCGAUUAUUGGGCCUAAAGCAUCCGUAGCCGGUUCCGUAGGUCUCCUGCAAAAUCCAGUCGCUCAACGAUUGGCCCGCAGGGGAUACCGCGGGACUAGGAGGCGGGAGAGGUGGACGGUACUCCACGUGUAGGGGUAAAAUCCUUUGAUCCGUGGAAGACCACCAGUGGCGAAGGCGGUCCACCAGAACGCGCUCGACGGUGAGGGAUGAAAGCUGGGGGAGCGAACCGGAUUAGAUACCCGGGUAGUCCCAGCCGUAAACGAUGCGAGCUAGAUGAUCCAAUCGCAAAUCGCGAUUGGAGUGUCGCAGGGAAGCCGUUAAGCUCGCCGCCUGGGGAGUACGGUCGCA